UCCCUGGUGGCUCAGUGGGUUAAGGACCUGGCAUUGUUGCUGUUGUGGCUCAGGUUCAAUCCCUGGCCUGGGAA
Molecule: non-coding RNA, 74 nt
Organism: Sus scrofa (pig)
Lineage: Eukaryota; Metazoa; Chordata; Mammalia; Artiodactyla; Suidae
Source: Rfam